Molecule: long non-coding RNA, 1068 nt
Organism: Scatophagus argus
Lineage: Eukaryota; Metazoa; Chordata; Actinopteri; Scatophagidae
Exons: 2
Source: RefSeq, a predicted model, not a curated record
GCAGCUCCACAUAGUGGAAGAGGAUGAAGAUGAGCUGGGAUGCAGGUGGACAAACACAUACAGGCCAUCGCUGUAACAUCAGCCGCUCUUCACCUGAGAGCUACGCGAAGGAAGGACCAGAAAUGGACUGCAGGGAAGCACAGAAGAAGGAGCAACGAACACCGGGAGAUAAACGGUGACGCCUGCAUUGACUUAAUUAGCAGCACCAGGCUUGUCUUUUUGGCCCAUCGACACUAAACAGUCCCUGGAAGGGGGUUUCCUCUUGUGCGAGCCUUCCCAAGGUUUCUUCCAGACGCUCCCGUUAAAGGGGUCAGUUUGGGAGUUUUUCCUUGCCCGCUUGAGGGAGGUGUCGUAAUCACGUGGGCUUGAGAUUAAUAUUACUUGAUAGUUUCCGGCCUGGUGUUUUAACAGCAUUUAAUUUUACCUGUUACCACACAGCUCAUAAAUAAGAUAGAAGACUGUAGUGUAUAAUCUAGUUCAGGGCAGCACGGUGGUGCAGUGGUUAGCGCAGUCACCUCACAGCAAGGCCAGGGUCUUCCUGUGAAGGCCCGGGACUUCCUGUGAGGAGUUUGCAUGUUCUCCCCGUGUCUGCGUGGGUUUCCUCUGGGUUCCCAAGCUUCCUCCCACAGUCCAAAGACAUGCAGGUUAAUUGGUGACUCUAAAUUGCCCCUUGAACAACCAUGCAACAGAUAGGUGGUGACAGAUAAUGCAUUAUUGUAAAGUAUAGCGUGCAGGCGUUACUUUUAGACAUAUUCAUAAUUCAUAAUUUCUGAUAAAUCUGACAACAAAUUAAAAAGAAAUGAUUAAAAUGGAUGUAAGACUGUCAGUUUCAGGAAUGUUCUGCAUUUUAAGUAGUAAAAUAAGAAGUGUUGUCCCAAUGAUUGCAAAGAGGUUUUAUUCUUGAACAAAGUGUCUAAUGUGUGAAACACUCACCUGAAGCUGAACCUGUAGAUGGCUUCCAGAGCUGUGCAUCAACAACGCAGCUUAACAUCCAUCGACUUCAGGUUUAAUUAGCAUGAGUAAUACAGGCUUUUCAGCCUUUUCACAAUAAAUUUACUUCAAAAUGGA